GUGUGGCAGGAGAGCUGAGUGGUUCCAGCACUCAUUCUUCAGCCUUGUCUCUGUUAUCCUUAAGAGGACAGAGACAUUGGAAUACUGAGAGCUGCACAGAGGCACUUCAGAGCUCCAGGGGCAGAACCCUGGAGCCCACGGCAAGCCCAUUGCCAGGGCCAGUAUUUCUACUCUUUUAAAUCUAGGUUUAUUAAUUUCUUCGCAAGAGCAUGUGUUUCCAAAAAAUUCUUUGUUGCUUUUAGUAGCAGUGUUGAUUCUAGAAUCCCAUUUCCUCACUCCCUCCCUCCCUCCCUCCCUCCCUCCCUCCCUCCCUCCCUCCCUUCCUUCCUUCCUAUAUAUUUUUAUUGAUUUCAGAGAAGAAUGAAGAGGGAAAGGAGAUAGAAACAUCAAUGAUGUGUGAGAAAGAGCCAUUGAUUGGCUGCCUUCUGCACACCCCACACUGGGGAUCGAGCCUGCAACCCAGGCAUGUGCCCUGACUGGGAGUCGAACUGUGACCUCCUGGUUCAUAGGUCAAUGCUCAACUAUCGAGCCACACUGGCUGGGCGUAUUAUCUUGGUUCUUUAUGCAGUGUAAUUUUCUUCAAAUUAUACUCUCUGCUUAUUUGACAUCUCUCUUGAAAAAUUAGGUGAGCAUCCCAACACCACAAGAAAACUUUGUGUAAUAUCUAGUCUUCAUUUUACUCAUUUAAAAUAUGUAUUUUUUUUACCCUUACUUAUUGUUGAGUCCAAGUUCCUCUGCCAGGGACUUGCCUUCUUUGGAGGCCGAGAAUUGGAAAAAGACAUGAGUGGCUGUAGGCAGGUGGGUUAUUUAUUGCAAACAAAGCAGCCAACAACCAGCUGGUCAGUGGCACUUUGUAUACUCACUCAAACAAAAGAGGCCACAUGCCCAUUAGUAACAUCUGUAUUACAUUAAAAUAAGUAGGUUGUAUAAGGGUGUGCCUAUGCAGUGUGUAUACUGCUACUGCUGAGUCAUUGCCCUUGCACAUGCAUAUGGCAAAUGGGCCUUUAGUAUCUGGCGUACUCUGGUCAGGGCCCUGCACUUUUUCAGCAGAUCAAUUUCUUAAAAUUCAUAAACUACGGUCCUGGCUUGUUUGUUUCAGUUGGUUGGAGUAUUAUCCUGUACACCAAAAGGUUGCUGGUUUGAUUCCCAGUAGGGGCACAUACCUAGGUUUCCAGUUUUGUCCCUGGAUGGAGUGUGCAUGAAAGGCAACCAGUCAAUGUUUCUCUCUCACAGCAAUGCCCUCCUCUCCUCCCUCCUAUAAAAAUCAGUGAAAAUGUCCUGAGGUGAGGAUUGGGGAAAAUUCAUCUAAUCUAAUAAAAGAGAAACAUGCAAAUUGACUGAACCUCCUCUAUGCCCCAAGCCACACCCACCAGCCAAUCAGAGCGACUAUAUGCAAAUUAACCCAACCAAGAUGGUGGCCGGCAGCCACGAAGCUGGAGCAAGCAGGAGGCUUGGUUGCCCUGGUGAUGGAGGAAGCCAAGCUUCCUGCCUUCCCUGGCAGUCUGUGGCCUUUGCUCAAGGCAACAAAGUUGCAAUUCUAGAAGAUAAAUAAAUCCCAGAUACCUGCUUCCAGCCAGCCUCCACUGGUAGCUUGGGUGGCUGGGGGCUUGGCCAGCCUGCAAACAGCCAUCAGCCCCUCACCCAGGCUGGCCAGGCACCCCAACAGGACCACCCACACUGAAGGGGUUGUGACCAGCCUGAAAAUGGCCCUCAGACCCUCACUCAAGCUGGCCAGGCACUCCAGCGGGGACCCCCACCCUGAAGGGGGUGUGGCCAGUCUGAAAACGGCCCUCAGCCCCUCACCCAGGCUGGCCAGGCACCCCAGCGGGACCCCCACCCUGAUCCGGGACACCAUUCAGGGCAAACCAGCCAGCCCCCACCCAUGCACCAGGCCUCUAUCCUAUAUAAUAAAAGUGUAAUAUGCAAGUUGACCCUAACAACAGAAUGACUGGGAAUGACUGGUCACUAUGACACACACUGACCACCAGGGGGCAGACGCUCAAUGCAGGAGCUGCCCCCCGGUGG
This is a long non-coding RNA of Myotis daubentonii (Daubenton's bat), 2025 nucleotides long. RefSeq lists it as uncharacterized. Lineage: Eukaryota; Metazoa; Chordata; Mammalia; Chiroptera; Vespertilionidae. The transcript is spliced from 3 exons. The record is from RefSeq and is a predicted model, not a curated record.